This 485-nucleotide ribosomal RNA is filed under the name Cryptococcus sp. (in: basidiomycete fungi). Its description in RNAcentral is "eukaryotic LSU rRNA". The stretch from base 95 to 248 matches the Rfam family "5.8S ribosomal RNA". Lineage: Eukaryota; Fungi; Basidiomycota; Tremellomycetes; Tremellales; Cryptococcaceae. The record is from RNAcentral.
CCUUAUCAGAUUCUACCACCUCUGUGAACCGUUGACCUCCGGGUUAAUAAUCAAACAUCAGUGUAACGAACGUAAGAGUAUCUUAAUUAAACAAAACUUUUAACAACGGAUCUCUUGGCUCUCGCAUCGAUGAAGAACGCAGCGAAAUGCGAUAAGUAAUGUGAAUUGCAGAAUUCAGUGAAUCAUCGAAUCUUUGAACGCACCUUGCGCCUUUUGGUAUUCCGAAAGGCAUGCCUGUUUCAGUGUCAUGAAAUCUCAAUCUAAUAUGUUUUCUGAACAUGUUAGGCUUGGACUUGGGUGUCUGCCAGUGAUGGCUCACCUCAAAUGACUUAGUGGAACAUCCCACAUCAGUGUUAGACGUAAUAAGUUUCGUCUCUCCUUGUGGUGAUGACUGCUCAGAACCUGCCAUCGCGCAUCUUUUGACUUUGACCUGAAAUCAGGUAGGGCUACCCGCUGAACUUAAGCAUAUCAAUAAGCGGAGGAAA